ACCCAGAGAUGCUGAAGGGUUUGCCU
RNAcentral lists this non-coding RNA (26 nucleotides) under Homo sapiens (human). Lineage: Eukaryota; Metazoa; Chordata; Mammalia; Primates; Hominidae. The record is from RNAcentral.